Molecule: ribosomal RNA, 497 nt
Filed under: uncultured bacterium
Lineage: Bacteria
Description: partial 16S ribosomal RNA
Rfam family: Bacterial small subunit ribosomal RNA
Source: RNAcentral
GAUGAACGCUGGCGGCGUGCCUAAUACAUGCAAGUCGAGCGAACAGACGAGGAGCUUGCUCCUCUGACGUUAGCGGCGGACGGGUGAGUAACACGUGGAUAACCUACCUAUAAGACUGGGAUAACUUCGGGAAACCGGAGCUAAUACCGGAUAAUAUAUUGAACCGCAUGGUUCAAUAGUGAAAGACGGUUUUGCUGUCACUUAUAGAUGGAUCCGCGCCGCAUUAGCUAGUUGGUAAGGUAACGGCUUACCAAGGCAACGAUGCGUAGCCGACCUGAGAGGGUGAUCGGCCACACUGGAACUGAGACACGGUCCAGACUCCUACGGGAGGCAGCAGUAGGGAAUCUUCCGCAAUAGGCGAAAGCCUGACGGAGCAACGCCGCGUGAGGGAUGAAGGUCUUCGGAUCGUAAAACUCUGUUAUUAGGGAAGAACAAAUGUGUAAGUAACUAUGCACGUCUUGACGGUACCUAAUCAGAAAGCCACGGCUAACUACGUG